UAAAAGGUACUCCGGGGAUAACAGGCUGAUACCGCCCAAGAGUUCAUAUCGACGGCGGUGUUUGGCACCUCGAUGUCGGCUCAUCACAUCCUGGGGCUGAAGUAGGUCCCAAGGGUAUGGCUGUUCGCCAUUUAAAGUGGUACGCGAGCUGGGUUUAGAACGUCGUGAGACAGUUCGGUCCCUAUCUGCCGUGGGCGCUGGAGAAUUGAGGGGGGCUGCUCCUAGUACGAGAGGACCGGAGUGGACGCAUCACUGGUGUUCGGGUUGUCAUGCCAAUGGCACUGCCCGGUAGCUAAAUGCGGAAGAGAUAAGUGCUGAAAGCAUCUAAGCACGAAACUUGCCCCGAGAUGAGUUCUCCCUGACUCCUUGAGAGUCCUGAAGGAACGUUGAAGACGACGACGUUGAUAGGCCGGGUGUGUAAGCGCAGCGAUGCGUUGAGCUAACCGGUACUAAUGAACCGUGAGGCUUAACCUUACAACGCCGAAG
This 486-nucleotide ribosomal RNA is filed under the name Escherichia coli. RNAcentral's name for it is "bacterial LSU rRNA". It matches the Rfam family "Bacterial large subunit ribosomal RNA", at positions 2457 to 2925 of the family's 2925-position model. The record is from RNAcentral. Lineage: Bacteria; Pseudomonadati; Pseudomonadota; Gammaproteobacteria; Enterobacterales; Enterobacteriaceae.